UUCCCGCCCUCUAACUUCUAUCUCCACCGAUCCAAAUGAUCUCCUAGCCCUCACUCCCGGACAUUUCCUCAUUGGCGAUUCAUUAAUGUGCUUACGUGAUCGAGAUUUCAAGGACAUUCCAUCGAACCGACUCUCCAAAUGGCAGCAUAUCCAACAGCUUAAACAACAUUUUUGGAACCGCUGGCAUAAGGAGUAUUUGAACGAGCUAACCAACCGCAAUAAAUGGAGCAAGGGUGGACACAGCAUCCAAAAGGGCACAAUCGUCAUCCUCAGAGAGGACAACGUUCCCUCCAUGCAUUGGCCUCUGGGCCGAGUUAUCAAGAUUCAUCCAGGCGCCGAUGGUGUCAUCCGGACAGCUACAGUUCAGACGGCAAAGAGCAUUUUGGAUCGGGGCGUCAAAAGGCUUGUCCCACUGCCAAUUCAACCCGAUCUCGAGAAACCCGAACAACUAGCCACCGAGACGAAAUAAGAUGGGAACUUCAACCACACCUCCCUAGUUUGAUCGGUACCCUCUCAACGGGGGGAGAAUGUUACGCCAUGCGGCUUACCAUAGGUCAUAUUCUUAACUAUCGAUCGCGGCACUAUAAUGUCGCAGACGGAUCGUCGUGUCUGCCCGGCAAACAAACAUUGUAGUGGCAAGCGCAUGGUUCAUUAAGCAGGGCGACUUCCAGAAACGUCGACUCGUGGCCCGUAUUUUACCUCGCGUAAAAGAAUGUGGCGUGAUCCGAACGUAGUGGGGGUCGCCUUCCAGAAAAAACGAAAAAAAUCGAAAGGCGUUCAGAACUUUUCGAGAUGUCGAACCGUCAACACAUGUGGGCAAUCCGGUGGACUUGAUCGGCCUUUUACUUCGAAAGUUGAGUAAUCGGUGUCGCUUUCUUACGCAUCUUUGAACUGUAUAAAUGUUUUAAAAUUGUUUGAUCCAGAAUGUACCACACCGGACAAUCAAGAAGGCAGGUGCCUUGACUACAGAAAAUGUAAACCUCUGCAAGAAAUAUGGCAGAUACAGUACCGUACAGCCACCGAUUUUUAUAGACGAUCAGUGUGCAGAUACCAGGGCAAUGUUACGAUCGUUUGCUGUCCGAACGAUCCAAACAAAGAGAAGAGAGAAAUUUUAAUAAAAACUGUGUAUAAGUAUAAGGCUUUGCGACCACCAUACUGUGGUUUUAGCAACGUCUCUCAUACCAGGGUGGUCGAUGGUAAACCAGCUGAACUUGGUACGUUUUAUGUCUUUCUUUCCGAUUAAUAAUAAGCCAUUUACUGCAAAGAAUGAACUUUAAAGGCAUUAAACAGCACAUCAAUGAAGAGUAUCUUUUUGCUUGAAAUAAAAAAUUGAUAUAGGAGUAAUAAUAUGGAUAGAGAUCAAAAACUGUUAGGGCAGAAAUUACACGUUUGAACUUUAUAGUUCAGUAUAGUUCAA
RNA transcript from Bombus huntii, 1417 nucleotides. It is a transcript of the gene named venom serine protease Bi-VSP-like, with no coding region annotated. NCBI's taxonomy places the organism in Eukaryota, Metazoa, Arthropoda, Insecta, Hymenoptera, Apidae. The record is from RefSeq and is a predicted model, not a curated record. The transcript has 3 exons.